RNAcentral lists this ribosomal RNA (1075 nucleotides) under uncultured organism. RNAcentral's name for it is "bacterial SSU rRNA". It matches the Rfam family "Bacterial small subunit ribosomal RNA", at positions 314 to 1413 of the family's 1533-position model. The record is from RNAcentral.
UGGGACUGAGACACGGCCCAUACUCCUACGGGAGGCAGCAGUGGGGAAUAUUGCACAAUGGACGAAAGUCUGAUGCAGCGAUUCUGCGUGGAGGAUGAAGCAUUACGGUGUGUAAACUCCUUUUUUGGUAAGAAGACGAAUAACGGUAUACCAAGAAUAAGGGACGGCUAACUAUGUGCCAGCAGCCGCGGUAAUACAUAGGUCCCAAGCGUUAUCCGGAUUUACUGGGCGUAAAGAGUCCGUAGCCGGAUACAUAAGUCUGUUUUCAAAUACUAUGGCUCAACCAUAGAAAGGGAAUAGAUACUGUGUAUCUGGAAGUUAUUGGGGGUUAGUGGAAUUUCAGGUGGAGCGGUGAAAUGCGUUGAUAUCUGAAAGAACGCCGAAAGCGAAAGCAGCUAACUACAAUAAACUUGACGGUAAUGGACGAAAGCUUGGGGAGCGAACGGGAUUAGAUACCCCGGUAGUCCAAGCUGUAAAUUAUGCUUGCUAGAUGUUUUGGAUCCUUGUGGUCUGGAGUGUCGUAAUCUAACGAGUUAAGCAAGCCGCCUGGGUAGUAUAUUCGCAAGAAUGAAACUCAAAGGGAUAGGCGGGGGAACACACAAGCAGUGGAUUGUCUAGAUUAAUUGGAUAAUAAGCCAAGAAUCUCACCUAGAUUUGACAUGUACUAUGUCCUAUAUGAAAGUAUAGUAGUCCGAGCAAUCGGACAUGGUAUACAGGUGGUGCAUGGUCGUCGUCAGCUCGUGCCGCAAGGUGUCUAGUUUAGUCUGGAAACGAGCGCAACCCUCAUCUUUAGUUAGAAUGUCUAAAGAGACUGCCUGGGUAACCAGGAGGAAGGAGAGGAUGACGUCAGAUCCUCAUGCCCCUUACAUCUAGGGCUUCAUAGACAAUACAAUGGGUAGUACAUCGAUAAGCUAAGCCGCGAGGUGGAGCAAACCUCUAGAACUAUCCCUAGUUCGGAUUGUAGUCUGGUACUCGACUACAUGAAGUUGGAAUUGCUAGUAAUGGCGGGUCAGCUACACCGCCGUGAAUAUGUCCCUGUUCCUUGCACUCACCGCCCGUCAAACCAUGGGAGCUG